GGAAACAGUAGAAACUGUCAAAUACAUUCCUAAAAAAUCAGCCAAACAGGCCAAUAAGACGGGGGGAAAAAAAGUAGGAGUAAUAUCAAUGGCUCAAGUUGAUGUAGAUCUCAAGGGAAUAAUUUUGUAAGACAGGUGUUUGUUUAACCUGUAGGAAACCUGAGACCUCCAGAGUGCUGUCAAGCAGUCUAAUUGUUUCAGAGUCAGAUUUAAAGUGAAGCUCUGACUGCACUGGCAUACAAGUUUAACAGAAGGUCGUACACAUGCUGUAUGUGGCCAAUGCUGGGAACUAAGGAAUCGACCUGGCUAAUCGGGGCUCUGGUACCUGAUAGUGGAUGACUGACUAUAAAAAUCAAGAUUCAGCUUACUCCCUGAGGCCUGCUGUACCGCCAGAUCAAAGUGCUUACACUUGGCAACCUGAAAAUCAAAUACCAUUGCUGUCACUUCAAAAACGUGUGAAACAGAAGCCUGGGACAAUGAUCCUUGUAAGUUAGACAGUAUUCCUUAAAAAAAGAGAUACAGAAAACUUCAAA
Long non-coding RNA from Pipra filicauda (Wire-tailed manakin), 533 nucleotides. RefSeq lists it as uncharacterized. Lineage: Eukaryota; Metazoa; Chordata; Aves; Passeriformes; Pipridae. The transcript is spliced from 4 exons. The record is from RefSeq and is a predicted model, not a curated record.